Molecule: ribosomal RNA, 612 nt
Filed under: Triticum aestivum (bread wheat)
Lineage: Eukaryota; Viridiplantae; Streptophyta; Magnoliopsida; Poales; Poaceae
Description: partial small subunit ribosomal RNA
Source: RNAcentral
AUGCAGUACUCGUCGCCCUUCCUCUUGCUCCUCCUCCUCGCCGCCUCGCCUCUCCUCGCCGCCGCAGAAACGAUCUACUGCUUCGGUGGAGUACACGAGACCAACAGCACCUACGGGGCCAACCUCCGCCGCCUGGCCGCCGUCCUGCCGGCCGAGACCGCCGCCUCCCAGGGCCUCCGGGCGUCCGGUGACGUGGGGUACUGGCCUAACCGGGUGCGAGCCUCCGCGCGCUGCGAGCCUCCUAGCGUCAGCUCCUCGUCCUGCGCCGCCUGCGUCGCCGGCGCCUUCCGGGAGGCGGAGAGCGCGUGCCCGUACGGCAGGAAGGUGCUCGUCGUGGCCGGCAACUGCACUCUCCGACUCGGUGGCAAUUUUUCUAGAUCUCUCGGCUUGGGCGAGGGUGGGUUCUCUGGCAUCUCUUCUCAAGAAGAUGGAAGCACUAUCUAUUUAUAUGCCACAGGCGACAACAGUUGGUUUCGCCUCUUGGGUCCGACGACACUGAUAUUUCAAGCAAUUGGAUUUGCAUGGCUUUUCUUCAUGCUUCUGCAAGAAUGGCGUGAUAAAAGAAGAGCCUCCAUGAUGCAUUGUAGCUCUCUUCCAUCUGGAGAUCAGUAG